GCUGACGUAGCUCAAGGGAGCACUGGGGUGGUGACCCCAGAAGUGGAGUUCGAAUCUCCAAGUCAGUGCCA
This 71-nucleotide transfer RNA is filed under the name Candidatus Berkelbacteria bacterium. RNAcentral's name for it is "tRNA-Thr". It matches the Rfam family "tRNA". From Rfam's summary of the family: Transfer RNA (tRNA) molecules are approximately 80 nucleotides in length. Their secondary structure includes four short double-helical elements and three loops (D, anti-codon, and T loops). The record is from RNAcentral. Lineage: Bacteria; Candidatus Berkelbacteria.